Molecule: long non-coding RNA, 540 nt
Filed under: Mus musculus (house mouse)
Lineage: Eukaryota; Metazoa; Chordata; Mammalia; Rodentia; Muridae
Description: predicted gene, 36141 (Gm36141)
Source: RNAcentral
ACUACCCGUGCAGACACAGCAGGAGCUGUCUCCCCCCACGCACACAUAGACCUCCAUGGAGACGUGGCUGACUGGUACACUCAUCAAAGUUGAGUCCACAGCGGUCUCCAGGGAAUCCAGGUGAACGCAAUUUCUUUAAAAGAGAACCUUGAGAUGAAAAGAUCAUCCCGGAUUAUCUACUUUGGCCCGAUGAAAUCACAAGGCUUUUCUGAGUGUCGGGCAUGUAGAGGAAAAGCACGUCCCUGCUCCCUAACAAGGACCACUGGGCUGGAUGUGUGCAGCAUGGCAGUGCUGGCAGAUCUCAACGCAGAACCCCAAUCUUUCAAGGCCAGAGGGUGCUGUAUCCUGGCCUAUUAUGAUGCUGACUGAACUCCACAAGUAUGCUUUCUCAGAGACUCGGGAUUUCUCCGGCUUUCCCUAAAACCCCUCCUGGUGUCCUCAUGCCCGCUCAACUCCAUGUGCCCCACAUCUGUCAAGACUCGGUUUCUCUGCUUCGGAGUAUUUCUUUUAAAUUCUAAUUAAAUUGUCUUGGAGUUUCUA